AAAGAUGAAUCAAAGAAGGUAAUAAUCCUGUAGUCGAAAAUGUUGUCUCUCUUGAGUGGAUCCUGAGUACGACGGAGCACGUGAAAUUCCGUCGGAAUCUGGGAGGACCAUCUCCUAAGGCUAAAUACUCUCUAGUGACCGAUAGUGAACCAGUACCGUGAGGGAAAGGUGAAAAGCACCCCGGAAGGGGAGUGAAAUAGAACCUGAAACCGUGUGCUUACAAGUAGUCAGAGCCCGUUAAUGGGUGAUGGCGUGCCUUUUGUAGAAUGAACCGGCGAGUUACGAUUUGAUGCAAGGUUAAGCAGUAAAUGUGGAGCCGUAGCGAAAGCGAGUCUGAAUAGGGCGUUUAGUAUUUGGUCGUAGACCCGAAACCAGGUGAUCUACCCUUGGUCAGGUUGAAGUUCAGGUAACACUGAAUGGAGGACCGAACCGACUUACGUUGAAAAGUGAGCGGAUGAACUGAGGGUAGCGGAGAAAUUCCAAUCGAACCUGGAGAUAGCUGGUUCUCUCCGAAAUAGCUUUAGGGCUAGCCUCAAGUGAUGAUUAUUGGAGGUAGAGCACUGUUUGGACGAGGGGCCCCUCUCGGGUUACCGAAUUCAGACAAACUCCGAAUGCCAAUUAAUUUAACUUGGGAGUCAGAACAUGGGUGAUAAGGUCCGUGUUCGAAAGGGAAACAGCCCAGACCACCAGCUAAGGUCCCAAAAUAUAUGUUAAGUGGAAAAGGAUGUGGCGUUGCCCAGACAACUAGGAUGUUGGCUUAGAAGCAGCCAUCAUUUAAAGAGUGCGUAAUAGCUCACUAGUCGAGUGACACUGCGCCGAAAAUGUACCGGGGCUAAACAUAUUACCGAAGCUGUGGAUUGUCCUUUGGACAAUGGUAGGAGAGCGUUCUAAGGGCGUUGAAGCAUGAUCGUAAGGACAUGUGGAGCGCUUAGAAGUGAGAAUGCCGGUGUGAGUAGCGAAAGACGGGUGAGAAUCCCGUCCACCGAUUGACUAAGGUUUCCAGAGGAAGGCUCGUCCGCUCUGGGUUAGUCGGGUCCUAAGCUGAGGCCGACAGGCGUAGGCGAUGGAUAACAGGUUGAUAUUCCUGUACCACCUAUAAUCGUUUUAAUCGAUGGGGGGACGCAGUAGGAUAGGCGAAGCGUGCGAUUGGAUUGCACGUCUAAGCAGUAAGGCUGAGUAUUAGGCAAAUCCGGUACUCGUUAAGGCUGAGC
This 1211-nucleotide ribosomal RNA is filed under the name Staphylococcus aureus. Its description in RNAcentral is "partial 23S ribosomal RNA". It matches the Rfam family "Bacterial large subunit ribosomal RNA", at positions 346 to 1561 of the family's 2925-position model. The record is from RNAcentral. Lineage: Bacteria; Bacillati; Bacillota; Bacilli; Caryophanales; Staphylococcaceae.